CUUCGGACCCAACGUUCAUUGCAAUGGACAUGACAUAUUUCUGUCUCUAAACCAAUAAAUACCUUGUAUUUGAAUGAUGUCAGUAAUGCUGGUUACUGAUUGGAUCCUGAUUAUCCAAUCACAAUCAUGUCAUGACUUUGAGCAUGCUCUGAGAGAGUCACAGACAUCGGCCAAGACAAGCAUGGCGGAGCAACUGCAGAGAGGGAGAAGCUCUGGGUUUUCCUGGUGAUGACUGCUGUUCCCUACCCAUGCUGUGACAUACUGAUCAAGUUAAUGUGCAUGUUCAGAACUGUACACAGACUCAAACACAUGCAAACAUCCAGUUCCAGAUGUUUAGGUCGUACCUGAUUGAUUA
Long non-coding RNA from Pygocentrus nattereri (red-bellied piranha), 355 nucleotides. RefSeq lists it as uncharacterized. The transcript has 2 exons. The record is from RefSeq and is a predicted model, not a curated record. NCBI's taxonomy places the organism in Eukaryota, Metazoa, Chordata, Actinopteri, Characiformes, Serrasalmidae.